Molecule: ribosomal RNA, 468 nt
Filed under: uncultured bacterium
Lineage: Bacteria
Description: bacterial SSU rRNA
Rfam family: Bacterial small subunit ribosomal RNA
Source: RNAcentral
AGAGUUUGAUCCUGGCUCAGGAUGAACGCUGGCGGCGUGCCUAAUACAUGCAAGUCGAGCGAGGUGCUUUUGUAGCAAUACGGAAGUAUCCUAGUGGCGAACGGGUGAGUAACGCGUUGGUGACCUACCCCAAAGUGUGGGAUAACAGUCCGAAAGGAUUGCUAAUACCGCAUGUGGUUUUCGGAAUUAGAAACCGAUUUCUAAAGGAGCAAUUCGCUUUGGGAGGGACCUGCGUCCCAUCAGCUAGUUGGUGAGGUAAUGGCUCACCAAGGCUACGACGGGUAGGGGACCUGAGAGGGUGACCCCCCACAAUGGAACUGAAACACGGUCCAUACACCUACGGGUGGCAGCAGUAGGGAAUAUUGCACAAUGGGCGAAAGCCUGAUGCAGCAACGCCGCGUGUGCGAUGAAGGCCUUCGGGUCGUAAAGCACUUUUCUGAGGGAUGAGCAAGGACAGACCUCAGGAAU